UUAGCUACAGUAGACAUGGACCGGUUAUAGAGUACAUUUUAGCAACUCCAGUUGCUUUUACAAUGUGACAUUCGAAGAAGAGGUUCAGGGCAAUAUCGUCGCUCCAUUGAUAUACAAGGCCAGAAGUAGGCAGUGGGGCGUAAAUUUUGCCCGUUCCAUAGGCCACCCAUUCCCCUCCCCUUCUGAUUAUUCGAUUAUCCAUCAAACCGAAUAGCUCGUAUUCACAGCUUUCUAUCUCACUGGUUUUUUGGAGGAAACUACUUAUUGACCUUAUUUCUGAAAAGAUUUGGAAUUCAGAGACCUUAUUCACUGCCUGAGGCUUUAUGUCGCCCCUGCACCUGGGAGAAUGGGUUAUGUUGCAGCUGCUGAGAGGUGGCAUCUGUCUCUCCCUAACUGUUUCUUCUGAGGUUUACUGAACAUGUAAUAAUGGUCCUUGGAAAGCAAUUAUUGAAUACUAUGGUGGACUUGAGAGUAUUGCUAUUUUAAUUGAAUUAUGUGUUUGUUUACUUUUAACCAUGUAGUUCAGGACGUUACUCACAUCCUGAGUUUUAAGUAGUUCAGGACGUUAUGUUUGUUUAGGUUAUAAAGCUGGUUAGGCUACAUUAUCAUGAGAUGAUUCCCCUCUGAUGCUGUACUGAAGCAAGUGAAAAGCUUUUCUAGCUGUGAUGGUAAUUGAAAAGUAUAUUGUGUCAUUUUACCGUU
This is a long non-coding RNA of Coffea eugenioides, 702 nucleotides long. RefSeq lists it as uncharacterized. NCBI's taxonomy places the organism in Eukaryota, Viridiplantae, Streptophyta, Magnoliopsida, Gentianales, Rubiaceae. The transcript has 2 exons. The record is from RefSeq and is a predicted model, not a curated record.